GGUAGCUUAGUGGUAGAGCGCUUGCCUCAUAUGCAUGAGGUCCUGGGUUUGAUUCCUCAGUACCA
This 65-nucleotide transfer RNA is filed under the name Dipodomys ordii (Ord's kangaroo rat). It matches the Rfam family "tRNA". Rfam says of the family: Transfer RNA (tRNA) molecules are approximately 80 nucleotides in length. Their secondary structure includes four short double-helical elements and three loops (D, anti-codon, and T loops). Further hydrogen bonds mediate the characteristic L-shaped molecular structure. tRNAs have two regions of fundamental functional importance: the anti-codon, which is responsible for specific mRNA codon recognition, and the 3' end, to which the tRNAs corresponding amino acid is attached (by aminoacyl-tRNA synthetases). tRNAs cope with the degeneracy of the genetic code in two manners: having more than one tRNA (with a specific anti-codon) for a particular amino acid; and 'wobble' base-pairing, i.e. permitting non-standard base-pairing at the 3rd anti-codon position. The record is from Rfam by way of RNAcentral. Lineage: Eukaryota; Metazoa; Chordata; Mammalia; Rodentia; Heteromyidae.